CACAAGAUGAGAUUUCUUUAAAGGGUCGUUGGAGAUGACAACGUUGAUAGGCUAUAGGUGCAAGUGCAGUAAUGCAGGUAGCCGAGUAGUACUAAUUACCCGUAAGCUUAUGUA
Molecule: ribosomal RNA, 114 nt
Filed under: Zhouia amylolytica
Lineage: Bacteria; Pseudomonadati; Bacteroidota; Flavobacteriia; Flavobacteriales; Flavobacteriaceae
Description: partial 23S rRNA. Bacterial LSU
Rfam family: Bacterial large subunit ribosomal RNA
Source: RNAcentral